AGGUCUGGAUUAAUGUAUUAACAUAUUAUUAACUUCCUUGAUAAAACUUAAUUUCAGCACAGCCCGACCUGGUAGAGUAAAUCAAAGCAAGAUCAUGUUUUGGAAGUCUCUCCCUGACAUUAGAAAGGGGAGGAAUUGGCUUUGAAUUUGAUUUCUGGGUUCACAUGUAAAAUUUCUUUAAAAAACCUUUCCAGCUUUAAUUACUGAGCCUUGAGAAAAAAAAAAAAAUAUACACACACACACACACACACACACACACACACACACAUAUAUGUUUUGGCUCUUCGGAUUUGUGGUACAUGGUUAGGUUUUUAAUUUUCACCAAGUUUAUAUUUUUGUCUUUAUUUUUUUAUUUCCACAGAAAAGAAAAUCACUAAGUUUAUAUUUGUGAUGGUUUAAUUUUUCCUCUGUAUUAUAACAGCUUUAGGAAUGAUUUAAAGAAACUUCAUUUCAUUGGUGAGACAUGGGAAGCAGAAAGCAAAAGCAGUCUUAGAUUUUGUUUUAAAACCAGAUUCAUAGAAGAUACUGUUUGAUUAUUUCAAUGCCCAAAAUGAUACCUUUAAAAUUUCAUUAAGGGUAUUAGGGCAUUUUUUUUCUCUAACAAUAAUUAUCUAGUUAAUUUUGCUUUUUAACAAGGACUUAUAAUCAUUAUAAAUUGUUGCAUUGAAUUUAAUAAAUUUUAAUUACCUUUGAUUGAACUGAGCUUAUCUUUACACAUUAACUAUUAAAAUUCUGGCUUAAUGCUGAUAUUAAUCCAUAAUAAUAUUUGAAAUCAGUGUAUGCAGUCUCAAGAAAUGAGUGAAAGAAUUGAAUGUCAUCUCCUUAUCCCUUUUCUAACCCAUGCAAUUGAAAAUAUGUGAGUUUUCAUUUUAUAACACAGACCUAACCUACCUUAUUUUAAAUUCAUUGUGGGAGCUUGACUUGCAAGAGAAAAAAUUCAUAGAAUAUUUUAAAGUCCUAUUGCUGUGGAGAUUUAUGCAAAUUCCUUAUGGAAAUGUAGACAUAACUUUCCCUUCAUCAAUAAUGAUGCAUAUUUUCCUGUGAAAUAUAGCCUGGAUCUCACCAUCAAUAUAUGAGACUUCUCCAGCGUACUCUUGGUAUAAAAAGCAUUGGUGACAUUUCACUGAAAAAUAUCCUCAAGUUAAUUUAAUAUUUCAAAUGACUUCAGGACUUUGAAACAGUGGAUUUGGAUGUACACAUAAGAUCCUUUUAUUUUCUCUAUGAGGGCUAGUGAGGGAGAAGAGAUGGGUUACAAGGGUUGGAAUUAAAGCAGGUUUUAAUAAACAUACAAGUUAUACCUUACUCAAUUAAGAAUCCAUCAGUGACAGGUACAACAAGUUUCUUUGUUUGUUUCUUUGUUUUAUAAGUCUGGUAUCUAAACCCACAGUGAAGUUAGUCUAUAUUAACUAUUCAUUUUCCACUGUAAAUUAAAGUUAUAGCUUUUGAAUACCAGGGAGUGAAUGAAAUAGUCAACUGCAAAAUGGGAAAUAACUAGUUCUGAAAAUCUUCUCUCAAGUGAUUUUUGGAAUAGGAUCUAUGCCAUGGACUUUUUCCUUUUCCUGGACUUGGUAAGGAAAAGAAAAUAUAAGCUUUAAAAAUUAUCAUAUUAAAACACAUAUGGCAUAAGACCUCUUUUUACUUAGCAAAAAUAUUUUUGACAGGCUAAGGAAAGGGCUGGAAUUUGGGAGGGCAAGUAGACAUGUACUUUUUAAGUUCUAUUAUAUUGAUUGAUUUCAUAAAAGUAACAAGCUAUUUAAAAAUUACUCUCUAUCCACUUAUUUCCUUGUGCUCUUCAACAGAUGGCACCCAGUGAAAGAGGCACGCCGUCAAUCAUCCUGUGUGGUGCCCAGCACUUUUCCUGUCCCGCUUUUCUUAUGCCUUUCAGCGCCAUUUGCCACGGUGGCAUCACUACAUAUCUGUUUGCUGAAACAGUCAGCUGCCAUAGUUUGGCUUUCAAAGUCAUUUGGCCCAAAUUUCAGUCUCACUCUUAAGAAAAGCUAGGCACAACGCAUCGUGUCCACAUGCUCAACUCAGCAUGUGUAUAAUUUAGAAAAGGGGCAUGAACAAAGGGGACAUUGGUGCUGAACAAUCCCUCUAAUUUUUACAAGAUUCCGCUGGUCUAUAACGACUUUCAAAAAGUUAGGUUUUAUGGUGCAUCUUUUUUUUGGUGCAACUUAAUUUAUGGCUUGGAUUGAUAACCUCUUGCAUUUGGAAGCAUCUCUAAGAUUUUGACAAUUCAUACCAAUUAAGUUCAAAUGUGUCACAAAGUGACCCAUCUGACAGUAUCUUGUCGGUCAGUUGACAAGAGGUUGCUCCUAUUGCAUGAUUAUAGAGAGGAUCAAUCCCCAAAUGGGUCUUUCCAAAGGGCAAUGGCAGCAAAAUAUUUUGAAGGGUAGAUAAAUUUAAAUUGAAAGGAGAGAGGAAUUAACUUUCACUAAGUUAAUAAACACAUAUGCUCUUGGUUACUAAUAAGUAUUAGUUUGCACUGAGGAACCUAUUCUGUCUGAGUGAACAGAUGCUAUUUCAAAAGGUUAGUUCACCAAAAGUGAGCGAUAUCAUAACAAUAGAAUUCUAAUCAUCUUGUGGUUGGAAUAGAGGACUUGGUCUAUUUGAAAAUGAGUAAAGGCACAUCAGAGACUGGACCAUUUGCAGCACAACACGCUUUGUGCAACUUGUUCUUUUUAGCUUGUUUUCAUUUCUAUCUACCUUAGCCUGUUCAUUACAUACAGUGAUUUGGUUUUCCCUUUCCUUCUAUGGGGAUUGUAAGUGCAUUCAUUUUGUUUUUAUCACAGUCUACUUUAUGUGUAUAAAAGUCUAAGGAUAUAGGGAGUUCCCAUUAUGGCACAGCAGAAAUGAAUGAACCUCGUAUCCAAGAGGAUGCAGGUUCCAUCCCUGGCCUUGCUCAGUGGGUCGGGGAUCCAGCAUUGCCAUGAGCUGUGGUAUAGGUCACAAACAUGGCUCAGAUCUCAUGUUGCUAUAGCUGUGACAUAGGCCGGUGGCUAUAGCUCUGAUUCAACCC
Molecule: long non-coding RNA, 3019 nt
Filed under: Sus scrofa (pig)
Lineage: Eukaryota; Metazoa; Chordata; Mammalia; Artiodactyla; Suidae
Description: lncRNA (ENSSSCG00000054696.1)
Source: RNAcentral